RNA transcript from Haemorhous mexicanus (house finch), 5821 nucleotides. It is a transcript of the gene named far upstream element binding protein 1, with no coding region annotated. The transcript is spliced from 21 exons. Lineage: Eukaryota; Metazoa; Chordata; Aves; Passeriformes; Fringillidae. The record is from RefSeq and is a predicted model, not a curated record.
CGCAGGAAUGUGAAAGGCGCGCGCCCGCCGCCAUUUUCUCUCUUUCUUGGCAGACAGCGGCAGCGGCCGGAGCGGCGCCGGGGAGGCCAUGGCGGACUAUUCCACGGUGCCCCCUCCUGCCGCGGGCGCGCCCGGGGGAGGUGGCGGCGGGGCUGGAGGAGUGAACGAUGCCUUUAAAGAUGCGCUGCAGAGGGCUAGGCAGAUUGCGGCGAAAAUUGGAGGAGAUGCUGGCACAGCAAUGAAUUCAAACGACUACGGUUAUGGAGGGCAGAAAAGACCUCUUGAGGAUGGAGAUCAACCAGAUGCUAAGAAAGUUGCUCCCCAGAAUGACUCUUUUGGAAAUCAGCUACCACCGAUGCAUCAGCAGCAAAGGUCUGUGAUGACUGAGGAGUACAAAGUUCCAGAUGGGAUGGUUGGAUUCAUAAUUGGCAGAGGUGGAGAGCAGAUCUCACGCAUACAGCAAGAAUCUGGCUGUAAAAUACAGAUUGCACCUGAUAGUGGAGGCCUGCCUGAAAGAUCAUGUAUGCUAACUGGGACACCAGAGUCUGUUCAGUCAGCAAAAAGAUUGCUUGAUCAGAUAGUUGAAAAGGGAAGACCUGCACCUGGAUUUCAUCAUGGUGAUGGACCUGGAAAUGCAGUCCAAGAAAUUAUGAUUCCAGCAAGUAAAGCAGGAUUAGUUAUUGGGAAAGGUGGCGAGACAAUUAAACAAUUACAGGAGCGAGCAGGUGUCAAAAUGGUCAUGAUUCAAGAUGGCCCACAGAACACUGGUGCAGAUAAGCCCCUUAGGAUAACUGGAGACCCUUAUAAAGUUCAGCAAGCCAAGGAAAUGGUGCUGGAGUUAAUUCGUGAUCAAGGUGGCUUUAGAGAGGUGCGCAACGAAUAUGGGUCAAGAAUAGGAGGAAAUGAAGGGAUAGACGUUCCAAUACCACGAUUUGCUGUAGGUAUUGUAAUUGGAAGAAAUGGAGAGAUGAUUAAAAAGAUCCAGAAUGAUGCUGGUGUUAGGAUCCAGUUCAAGCCAGAUGAUGGAACAACUCCAGAUAGAAUAGCCCAGAUCACAGGGCCUCCUGACAGAUGUCAGCAUGCUGCAGAAAUUAUUACAGAUCUCCUUCGCAGUGUUCAGGCUGGUAACCCUGGUGGACCAGGACCUGGUGGUCGAGGAAGGGGUAGAGGCCAAGGCAACUGGAACAUGGGGCCUCCUGGUGGAUUACAAGAGUUCAAUUUUAUUGUCCCUACUGGCAAAACUGGAUUAAUCAUUGGAAAAGGUGGUGAAACUAUUAAAAGUAUAAGCCAACAGUCUGGUGCUAGAAUAGAACUUCAGAGAAAUCCUCCACCUAAUGCAGAUCCAAACAUGAAGAUGUUUACUAUCCGUGGAACACCCCAGCAAAUAGAUUAUGCACGACAACUUAUAGAAGAAAAGAUUGGAGGUCCAGUGAAUCCAUUGGGUCCACCUGUUCCCCAUGGUCCCCAUGGUGUUGUUCCUGGCCCGCAUGGACCUCCUGGGCCACCAGGUCCUGGUGCUCCCAUGGGACCAUAUAAUCCAGCUCCUUAUAACCCAGGCCCUCCUGGUCCUGCACCUCAUGGUCCUCCAGCUCCAUAUGCUCCACAGGGAUGGGGAAAUGCUUAUCCGCACUGGCAGCCGCCAAACCCUCCAGACCCAGGUAAGCCAGGAACAGAUCCCAAUUCAGCAGCGUGGGCAGCUUAUUAUGCUCACUAUUAUCAGCAGCAAGCACAGCCACCACCUGCAGCCCCUCCUGGUGGACCAGCUACAACCCAAACCAAUGGACAAGGAGAUCAGCCAAAUCCAGCACCAGCAGGGCAGGUUGACUAUACCAAGGCCUGGGAGGAGUACUACAAAAAAAUGGGUCAGGCUGUUCCUGCCCCUGCUGGGGCUCCUCCGGGCGGGCAGCCAGAUUACAGCGCAGCGUGGGCUGAGUACUACAGGCAGCAGGCAGCGUACUACGCUCAGACAAGUCCACAGGGAAUGCCACAGCAUCCUCCAGCACCACAGGGCCAAUAAUAAGAAGUGGACAAUACAGUAUUUGCUUCAUUGUGUGGGGGAAAAAACCUUUGUUAAAUGUAUGGAUGCAGACGCCUUGAUGAAGAUCUUAAAUUUGGUUUAAAAAAAUAGUGUUUUUGAAAAUGUACAAAAUAUCUAUCACUACUGAUAGGAGGUAAUAUUUCUGUGUAGAAAUGAAAAAAUGGUUUGUUUUUAGUAUUAGUGUAGAUGUACACAUUCCAGCAAAUGUAUUUGCAAUUAUGUGGUCAAUGCUUUGUGAUAUAAAUGUACUUUUUCAAUGUAUACUUUAUCACUUUUAAAAUGCCUGUUUUGUGCUUUACAAUAAAUAAUAUGAAACCUCCUGUGUCGGUAAGUUGGAUAUGUGGGUAUAUGCAGUAUUGAUUAUAGGAUUGAUUUGCAACGCUGAAUCAAGGUACCGCUACACAAAUGAGUUGGGUUUUUUUUUCCCCCCAUAAACCUUGUUGAGUUUAAAAACUUGUCAUUAGCAUGUUUUUCCCCUCUUGCAGAAUAGCUGUAGAUGGAGGAUCUCUUUCAUUCAUUGUAUUUUGCUGCCUAGCACCAGUAAUCUUGAUACCUUAAUUUUUUUUCUACUUGAUUAAAACUGCAUGUGUUUAAGAAGAUGAUCUUUUGGCAUACUUCCAUUGCAUUAACAGUGAAAUUUCCUUUUAUACAUGACCACUGUUUCAGACCUGUGCAGCUGCUAUAACAGAUAACUUUCGUUUUUAAUUGAAUACUUCAAAACUGUUCCUGCAUAACUAUUCUACAGAUUUUUUCAGACUAGUUAUAAAACUUACUUUAAGUGUAAUGUGCUUAAGCCUUCAGUUUAAAGUAGUCCACUUCAAAAUUCAGUGUAGAAAAGUCAAUGUGGUAAUGCAUAGUAGUUACAAAAGUUGCGUCUGUCCUUAAAACGCUGUUUUGUUUGAGUGAUGGGAGUGGUUGAGAGCUUCCUGCAGAGCAGAUAACUUCUCUUUUUGUAAAUAUUCAAGUAUUUGAAUCAACUGAUUAUUUUUUUAUAUAUACUUGAAACUUCUUAUUGCUCUAAUGCUCAUACUAAAAAGCUGAUUCUCUUGAAAUCCUGUGUUUGCUCUUUGCAUAUUUAUUGGCUCUUUGCAUAUAUUAGACUACAUGCACUACAGUCUGUCUUGCCAUUGUCUGUUGAAGUGCAGGUUUGAUCCAGCCAGUAUAGAACUAGCUCUAUAGGGGUGAGGAGGACUGUGCUGUGUAUCAUCCUUGAUUGUUCCUUCAAGGAGCAUUGCACUGUAAGUACAUCAGAAUGACAAAUUGAUGAACUGCAACAGUAUCUUUUUGUCAAUGUUCCACAUAAUGCAAAUGCUGUAUUUGUGUGAUAUUAUGUUGGAAUACAGUGCUGGUAUCUUAGGAAAUCAUAAUUGCUUCUUAAUUCAGAAACAUAGGUUUGCUUAUAUAUAUACAUACACAUAAUCUGAGUUUUGUGGGUAAGUAUUUCUGAAACUUUUAGCAAUAGCUAAAGAAAAUCAUGUUUCUGUUUAUCUAAGAGUUUCUUUCAUUAGUACUCAUGAGACAGCUGUCAUUCAGUGUUUUAAAGUAUGCAUAUCAUAACAUUGAAGUCUUUGGAACCACUUGUUAGACAGAGUUGUCUUUGUCUCCAGAUAGUUUGUGGAUAUGUAGUGAUAUAGGUAUGUUUUAAAUAAUUCUAUAACUGUUGAUUGCUUUAAAUUUUGGAACACCAUGUUGUUGCUUUGAGAAUAAAUUUUUUUAGGGUGGCUGCACAGAGAAGUAGAAGUUCAGGCUUGAAAACUGAAGUAGUUUUUUCAGGUAAUCAGCAAUGUAUGCAUUGUGCUGUAGAAAUAGAAGGAAUUAUUUUUCUCCUUUUAAAGCUAGGAAUUUGCUGGUAGCUUGAAGAAGGCUAGGACAGUAUUUGCUCUCUUUAGUGUAGGGUAUUAAGUUUAAUAGUUCAGGUAUUUUGCAUGGUAUUUUGUAGAUAACCUUACAGAAUGGUGCAUUUAUUAUGUACUAAAGUGAGCAAAAUUAAAUUCACUGGAUUCGUUUAUCAUUCGCAAAAUGGAGGCUGUUGAUUUUGAUUCAUUUAAGGUAUAAAAUCUUUAUUAAUUGCAAACAGUGCAAUUAUUUAUACUUCACAGUGCCUUCCCAGACCUUCCACCUUAGGUUCUGCUGCAAAAAAGCAACAGUGCUGAAGAUGCUGCAAGCACCAAAUCAUAGCUCAUAGAAUCAGGUCCUGAGAUAGUUACUACCAGUAAAGAGGAAUCCUUUGAGUGUAUGCCAUUGGUGAGCCGAUGAGCAUGGACCAUAGAAGGGCUCCAUGUAGAAGGUAAAAUUGGCAAAAGCAUAACAGAUUUGAAAUGUAUCCCAUACAUAAUGAUAUAGGGUAUAAUUUUUGUUUUGAUCACUUUUCAUUCUUUAAAGUAUUCUUUGUUUGACCAUUAAUGUUCCAUAAUCUGUUAAAGUUUUUUAAACUGUGAUUUAAUAAUAUAAACCAUCUAUUUUACUUUAUAUUCUUCUAAACAGUCAAGCUGAUUUUUGAACUGAAUUAAUAGUUGUGCUUCAGUUUCUCAAGCCACUUAGUAUUUCAUCUGUAGCUUAACAUGUAACUUCAUUUUUGACGUGAGAAGAGGGUAGGUGUGUACCAUUUGGAUUUUGAUACUGUGGAUUUAGUGUGGGGGUGAGUCAUUCGUUCACUUCCUUUUUACAUGGUACUUUUUCCUUCAACUGUUACUCCUGAAAUAUCUUGAACAGUCUUUCAGUUGCUAAUUUAGCCUGUGGGAGGAGAUAGAGAAGAAAAAGCCAGUGUAUUGGGAUGUUGCUAGUGUGUGGAAGGUGAGAUGUUCUUCCGUGUAGCAUUUGAGGUGUAUUGGCUUCCAGCUUUCUCACUGCAGGGCUUACUGGCAUGCUGGUUUGUGCAGAGCGUAGUGUUCCUUUUCUUUUUCAACUCUUGUCUCCAAACUCAGAGUUCCUGGGACAGCAGUAGGUUAUUGGAGUUACUCCAGUAGCCAGAAAGAUAACUGAACUUGCUUAGAAAUGCAGUGAACUUGUCCACAAAGUGUCUUGAAAUGUUUCCCGCUUACCCCACACAUCACCGCUUAGUGUCCCACUAUGAAUGUGAAGGGUAAGAAAAGUUUUAAAAGCAAGCUUAAUGUUCCAAGUAGGAAAAGAAUUUUCAUAUCACUUUCUGCAGCCUAUACUUUAUUAGGACAUUGAAUAAAAUACCAGGUGGAUACUCUUUAGUGUGGCUUAAUUUUAAGUCAUCUGUUUGACUUGUCAGGCAGACAGGAUCGUGAUUCACUUGCACAGACUGUCUUGAAGUACUUCAUCUUUAUACUAGUGAUAUUUUAUUGGAUGGUAGAAACUGUUUCUCCCCAUUUCUUUUCCAGAGUGAUUCUUAAGUUUUCCAUUGCAUGCUAAAAGCUUUUCCAUUUUGCUUUUUCUCUGGAAGUGGGGGGAGGAAGGGAGGACUGGGCUUUUCAGAAAGCAAACAAUUGACAGGAUUCCCUCUUCCCUAGUAAUGGCUUAUGAAACUCUUGUGUAUGCACAAAUAUUUCUCUUGCGUGCAUGUGAAAUGCCUUUUCGUCCUGAGAAAAGUGUUCUCUGCAGAAACUACCCGUGUGUAAACAGAAGAUUGGCUUUAAAAGGCAACUGUGAUGGGAACAGUGUCUUAGGGAGAUGCAGCUUGGACUUGAGGUAAAUUGAAUGCUUUACAAAAAUGUGGUUUUGAGCUUGCAUUGACAUUGUAUGUAAUAUGGGUACACAUUAACUGUAUAAUGGUUUUUGUAUGGUUUUUCUCAAUAAAUGUAAACUGAUGAAUAAUAA